GAGGGUAGAGCUCAGGGGCAGAGCGCGUGCUUAGUGUGCAUGAGGUCCUGGGUUCAAUCCCCAGUGCCUCCA
This 72-nucleotide transfer RNA is filed under the name Camelus bactrianus (Bactrian camel). It matches the Rfam family "tRNA". From Rfam's summary of the family: Transfer RNA (tRNA) molecules are approximately 80 nucleotides in length. Their secondary structure includes four short double-helical elements and three loops (D, anti-codon, and T loops). Lineage: Eukaryota; Metazoa; Chordata; Mammalia; Artiodactyla; Camelidae. RNAcentral also lists the same sequence under 1 other name. The record is from Rfam by way of RNAcentral.